This is a small nuclear RNA of Astyanax mexicanus (Mexican tetra), 175 nucleotides long. Its record names the gene U1. It matches the Rfam family "U1 spliceosomal RNA". From Rfam's summary of the family: U1 is a small nuclear RNA (snRNA) component of the spliceosome (involved in pre-mRNA splicing). Its 5' end forms complementary base pairs with the 5' splice junction, thus defining the 5' donor site of an intron. There are significant differences in sequence and secondary structure between metazoan and yeast U1 snRNAs, the latter being much longer (568 nucleotides as compared to 164 nucleotides in human). Lineage: Eukaryota; Metazoa; Chordata; Actinopteri; Characiformes; Acestrorhamphidae. The record is from Ensembl.
AUACUUACCUGGCAGAGGAUACCCAAUGAUCAAGAAGGUGGUUCACCCAGGUGUGAGGCUUCGUCCAUUGCACUUCCGGUAUGUGCUGACCCCUGCCGAAUUUUUUCCCCAAAUGCUGGAAUUCUCGACUGCCAUAAUUUCUGGUAGUGGGGGACUUCGUUCGCGCUCUCCCCUG